AUGUUGAGAUGGAUGUGUGGCCACACGAGGAAGGAUCGAGUCCGGAAUGAUGAUAUACGAGAUAGAGUUGGGGUAGCACCAAUUGAGGAGAAGCUCGUCCAACAUCGUUUGAGAUGGUUUGGGCAUAUUCAGCGCAGGCCUCCAGAAGCUCCAGUGCAUAGCGGACGGCUAAAGCGUGCGGAGAAUGUCAAGAGAGGGCGGGGUCGUCCGAUUUUGACAUGGGAGGAGUCCGUUAAGAGAGACCUGAAGGAUUGGAGUAUCGACAAAGAGCAAGCUAUGGACAGGGGUGCGUGGAAGCUUGCUAUCCAUGUGCCAGAGCCAUGA
This 324-nucleotide ribosomal RNA is filed under the name Triticum aestivum (bread wheat). Its description in RNAcentral is "partial small subunit ribosomal RNA". Lineage: Eukaryota; Viridiplantae; Streptophyta; Magnoliopsida; Poales; Poaceae. The record is from RNAcentral.